GUUAAACUCUACGGCUGUGUGUGUUUAGCUUAAUGACCAGGUUAAACUCUACGGCUGUGUGUGUUUAGCUUAAUGACCAGGUUAAACUCUACGGCUGUGUGUGUUUAGCUUAAUGACCAGGUUAAACUCUACGGCUGUGUGUGUUUAGCUUAAUGACCAGGUUAAACUCUACGGCUGUGUGUGUGUUUAGCUUAAUGACCAGGUUAAACUCUACGGCUGUGUGUGUGUUUAGCUUAAUGACCAGGUUAAACUCUACGGCUGUGUGUGUGUUUAGCUUAAUGACCAGGUUAAACUCUACGGCUGUGUGUGUGUUUAGCUUAAUGACCAGGUUAAACUCUACGGCUGUGUGUGUGUUUACCUUAAUGACCAGGUUAAACUCUACGGCUGUGUGUGUGUUUA
Oncorhynchus keta (chum salmon) is the source of this 399-nucleotide long non-coding RNA. RefSeq lists it as uncharacterized. The record is from RefSeq and is a predicted model, not a curated record. The transcript has 3 exons. NCBI's taxonomy places the organism in Eukaryota, Metazoa, Chordata, Actinopteri, Salmoniformes, Salmonidae.